CCAACAUUUCCUUGGAAGUAAAAGUCGUAACAAGGUUUCCGCUGAGGUGCACCUGCGGAAGGAUCAUUAUUGAAAUUAUAUUAAAUGAGGAGUUGAGUUGUUGCUGGCCUUUCUACCUUAAUUUGGCGGGAGGCAUGUGCACACCCUUCUCUUUCAUCCAUUCACACCCCUGUGCACUUGUGAGACAGCAAUGGUGGUGGAUUUAAUUCCACCCAUUUGCUGUCUACUUAAUCUACACACACUCUAUUUAAUUUAAACUGAAUGUAAUUGAUGUAACGCAUCUAAUACUAAGUUUCAACAACGGAUCUCUUGGCUCUCGCAUCGAUGAAGAACGCAGCGAAAUGCGAUAAGUAAUGUGAACUGCAGAAUUCAGUGAAUCAUCGAAUCUUUGAACGCACCCUGCGCUCCUUGGUAUUCCCUGGAGCAUGCCUGUUUGAGUAUCAUGAAAUCUUCAAAGUAAACCUUUUGUUAAUUCAAUUGGUCUUUUUACUUUGGUUUUGGAGGAUAUUAUUGCAGCUUCACACCUGCUCCUCUUUGUGCAUUAGCUGGAUCUCAGUGUUAUGCUCGGUUCCACUCGGCGUGAUAAGUUAUCUAUCGCUGAGGACACCCGUAAAAAAGGUGGCCAAGGUAAAUGCAGAAGAACCGCUUCUAAUAGUCCAUUUACUUGGACAGUAUUAUAUUUUAUGAUAUGCAUCUCAAAUCAGGUACGACUACCGUCGAUCACACUGUAGCAUAUCAUUAAGCCGAAGGAAAAACGGACGGACAAUGUUUAGUAAUACAUUACCGUUAUAAGAACGAGAUGAAUUAGUCUUUAUUCGAUAUCAACUUGUCUAUCGUGUGU
RNAcentral lists this ribosomal RNA (841 nucleotides) under Rhizoctonia solani. RNAcentral describes it as "eukaryotic LSU rRNA". The stretch from base 290 to 443 matches the Rfam family "5.8S ribosomal RNA". The record is from RNAcentral. Lineage: Eukaryota; Fungi; Basidiomycota; Agaricomycetes; Cantharellales; Ceratobasidiaceae.